Molecule: transfer RNA, 66 nt
Filed under: Bufo gargarizans (Asiatic toad)
Lineage: Eukaryota; Metazoa; Chordata; Amphibia; Anura; Bufonidae
Description: tRNA-Cys
Source: RNAcentral
GAAGCCCCGGCAGAACUUCUUCUGCAUCUCCAGGCUUGCAAUCUGGCGUGUGACACCCCGGAGCCU